GGGGGCGUAGUUCAAUGGUAGAAUGCUCGUCUCCAAAACGAGCGACGUAGGUUCGAUUCCUACCGCCCCUGCCA
RNAcentral lists this transfer RNA (74 nucleotides) under bacterium. RNAcentral's name for it is "tRNA-Trp". It matches the Rfam family "tRNA". From Rfam's summary of the family: Transfer RNA (tRNA) molecules are approximately 80 nucleotides in length. The record is from RNAcentral.